GACGUAGGGCGCGAGCGUUGUCCGGAUUUAUUGGGCGUAAAGAGCGUGUAGGCGGCCAGGUAGGUCGGUUGUGAAAACUGGAGGCUCAACCUUCAGAGGUCGACCGAAACCAUCUGGCUAGAGUCCGGGAGAGGAGAGUGGAAUUCCUGGUGUAGCGGUGAAAUGCGCAGAUAUCAGGAAGAACACCCGUGGCGAAAGCGGCUCUCUGGAACGGUACUGACGCUGAGACGCGAAAGCGUGGGGAGCAAACAGG
Molecule: ribosomal RNA, 253 nt
Filed under: uncultured bacterium
Lineage: Bacteria
Description: partial 16S ribosomal RNA
Rfam family: Bacterial small subunit ribosomal RNA
Source: RNAcentral